RNAcentral lists this ribosomal RNA (468 nucleotides) under uncultured bacterium. Its description in RNAcentral is "partial 16S ribosomal RNA". It matches the Rfam family "Bacterial small subunit ribosomal RNA", at positions 28 to 507 of the family's 1533-position model. The record is from RNAcentral.
GACGAACGCUGGCGGCGUGCUUAACACAUGCAAGUCGAACGGAAAGGCCCUGCUUUUGUGGGGUGCUCGAGUGGCGAACGGGUGAGUAACACGUGAGUAACCUGCCCUUGACUUUGGGAUAACUUCGGGAAACUGGGGCUAUAACCGGAUGGGGGCUCCUGUGGCAGGGGGGGGGUGGGAAAUUUUGGGCGGUUGGGGUGGGACCCGCGGCUUUUCAGCUUGUUGGUGGGGUAGUGGCUUACCAAGGCUUUGACGGGUAGCCGGCCUGAGAGGGUGACCGGCCACAUUGGGACUGAGAUACGGCCCAGACUCCUACGGGAGGCAGCAGUGGGGAAUAUUGCACAAUGGGCGGAAGCCUGAUGCAGCAACGCCGCGUGCGGGAUGACGGCCUUCGGGUUGUAAACCGCUUUCGCCUGUGACGAAGCGUGAGUGACGGUAAUGGGUAAAGAAGCACCGGCUAACUACGUG